GACGAACGCUGGCGGCGUGCUUAACACAUGCAAGUCGAACGGAAAGGCCCUGCUUUUGUGGGGUGCUCGAGUGGCGAACGGGUGAGUAACACGUGAGUAACCUGCCCUUGACUUUGGGAUAACUUCAGGAAACUGGGGCUAAUACCGGAUAGGAGCACCUGCUGAAUGGUGGGGGUUGGAAAGUUUCGGCGGUUGGGGAUGGACUCGCGGCUUAUCAGCUUGUUGGUGGGGUAGUGGCUUACCAAGGCUGUGACGGGUAGCCGGCCUGAGAGGGUGACCGGCCACAUUGGGACUGAGAUACGGACCAGACGCCUACGGGAGGCAGCAGUGGGGAAUAUUGCACAAUGGGCGGAAGCCUGAUGCAGCAACGCCGCGUGCGGGAUGACGGCCUUCGGGUUGUAAACCGCUUUCGCCUGUGACGAAGCGUGAGUGACGGUAAUGGGUAAAGAAGCACCGGCUAACUACGUG
RNAcentral lists this ribosomal RNA (468 nucleotides) under uncultured bacterium. Its description in RNAcentral is "partial 16S ribosomal RNA". It matches the Rfam family "Bacterial small subunit ribosomal RNA", at positions 28 to 507 of the family's 1533-position model. The record is from RNAcentral.